UUUAUAUGAGAGUUUGAUCCUGGCUCAGGAUGAACGCCGGCGGUGUGCCUAAUACAUGCAAGUCGAACGCGUUGGCCCAAUUGAUUGAUGGUGCUUGCACCUGAUUGAUUUUGGUUGCCAGCGAGUGGCGGACGGGUGAGUAACACGUAGGUAACCUGCCCAGAAGUGGGGGACAACAUUUGGAAACAGAUGCUAAUACCGCAUAACAACGUUGUUCGCAUGAACAACGCUUAAAAGAUGGCUUCUCGCUAUCACUUCUGGAUGGACCUGCGGUGCAUUAGCUUGUUGGUGGGGUAACGGCCUACCAAGGCGAUGAUGCAUAGCCGAGUUGAGAGA
RNAcentral lists this ribosomal RNA (336 nucleotides) under Limosilactobacillus fermentum. Its description in RNAcentral is "bacterial SSU rRNA". It matches the Rfam family "Bacterial small subunit ribosomal RNA", at positions 1 to 299 of the family's 1533-position model. Lineage: Bacteria; Bacillati; Bacillota; Bacilli; Lactobacillales; Lactobacillaceae. The record is from RNAcentral.